ACCAGAGUUAGAUCCAAGUCUUCCUAACUGAGAGGUCAUCUCCCUCUCCCCCACACCACACAGAUUCUUGCCUAAAAGCCUCUCAGAAUACCUAGUUUGCUUCAAGAGUCAGCUCAAGUGCCUCCUUCUACACGAAGCCAUUCUUGACCCUGCAGGCUUCAAAUCUUCUUAGAUGUUCUCCUCCUCGAUGUACUCCAUGAUCCAGCUAGACCCGCCUAGUCAGAGUUCCUCCAACCCA
RNAcentral lists this long non-coding RNA (238 nucleotides) under Monodelphis domestica (gray short-tailed opossum). RNAcentral's name for it is "lncRNA (ENSMODG00000049773.1)". The record is from RNAcentral. Lineage: Eukaryota; Metazoa; Chordata; Mammalia; Didelphimorphia; Didelphidae.